AAAGACCCAAGCCAUCCCCUUGCUUCUAGCUUCUUGCCUCUCCCUCACUCUUGUGAGCAUGUGACAGAAGUGGAAAUACAGCAGUGAGGAGGCAAAGCAGCAGUACACUCAGACUGGAUCUAUUCCAGGGAAUAAUAAUAGUGACUGAGUUUCAGAUAAAAGAAAAAAGAAAGACAAGAUGUUGUUUUACUUCCGUGAUUCUUGGGAAAAUGCAAAAAUACCAAUUAAGCUGUAAUUUUAACUCACAGCUGUCUUUCAAUGCCAAUGAAAAAGAGGAGCAGGACAAAGCAGUACAAAUAAAAAUGUGAUACAGAAUAUUAAGAUGAAGCUAAAUUAAUUAUGCAAAAUACAAUUCAGCGGCUUAGGAGGCAUUUUUUUUUUUCUUACUGAAUGUAUGGGAACUACUGAGUCACAGACUGAACCACUGAUUGAUCACCUGAGGCAAGGGCUGAGUCAGCCCUGGGAGCACAGGUGAAGGCAAUUCACCUGUUUGACCAGAAGGGGUGGAGCCUAGCUGCACCUCUACUAGAUCUGUUUAAAGGCUGACUGAAGCUGCAGAAGGAUCUCUUUCUGGAGAUUCUCCCUUUGGAGUCUUCUACUGUGAGCCUAGGACACGGCUGAAAUGGGACAGAGUUUAUUGAUGGGCUUUCCUUCUGGAUUCCAUUGGCUUGAAGAGGUGGGGAUCUGUAAAGUCUGCAGUGCAUGAAGACUUCUCAUCCCCUUCCUCUGCAGUUCAGCCUCAGGGAAGGACCCUGUCAGGACUGGGUCCGAAGUGUCUUGGUGCUCUGUUUACUCUUGCUCUUGAAUAAACUCUGAGGGCUUUCAAUUGGGGCACUACAGACACCAGCAUGUCUAAAUGAAUUGAACACCUGCUGACACGAAUGCCCUAGUAUUUGAAGUUUUGUCUGUACUAAAUUGUAAUUUUUCUAUUUUGUAAAAAAAAAAAAAUCUGUUAAAAAGAUAAGUGGAUGAACAGCAGAAGGGUGUUGUGCAGGGUGCUCUGUAGUGCAAGCCCAGAGUGCAAAAUUUGC
Molecule: long non-coding RNA, 1031 nt
Filed under: Gallus gallus (chicken)
Lineage: Eukaryota; Metazoa; Chordata; Aves; Galliformes; Phasianidae
Description: lncRNA (ENSGALG00010006027.1)
Source: RNAcentral